Molecule: unclassified non-coding RNA, 247 nt
Filed under: Hevea brasiliensis (rubber tree)
Lineage: Eukaryota; Viridiplantae; Streptophyta; Magnoliopsida; Malpighiales; Euphorbiaceae
Source: RNAcentral
GGAAACCAAAGGCAUAGACCCCGUUGACGAAGCUAUUGAUUAACCAGGAGUACCAGCUCUUAUAUUUGAUAUUCAGGAGUGAAUAGACAGCACCCCCGACACAGAGAGGGUACAGCAGGUAUGACAAGUACUUCAUGGCCUGAGUAUCGUACUCCUCGGUUUUCCUCUCAGAUUCGCUGUAAGUGCCAAACUGAAAUUCGGGCAUCAGGCCUCUCCAAAAAAUAGUCAUCUUCAAUGCCUUCUUCAC